This 747-nucleotide long non-coding RNA is filed under the name Salmo trutta (river trout). Its description in RNAcentral is "lncRNA (ENSSTUG00000050507.1)". Lineage: Eukaryota; Metazoa; Chordata; Actinopteri; Salmoniformes; Salmonidae. The record is from RNAcentral.
GUAGCUUUCUAUGAAGACACCUAAACCAAGGCUUACUGUUGCAACCCGUUGUCCCACGCUAGUGCAGUGACAUAAGCAAGACAGAAGGGGGCAACACGAGCAUGCGGGCGCGAAGCUUCACUCAAAGGGAGCUUGACGCAGUGUCUCGUUCCUCUUAUUUCAAGCGCAUGUUACCGGAGCGUGAGGAGCAAGGAAGGGUUUAUGAUGCAGUGUUCCAUCUUAGGGAGGGGUAUGAACCCAAAGUGUCACGUGAUGACAAGGCUGUGAACCUUACACUGAACAUUAAUAAGGAGGAAAGGGGUAGACGGGUGCCUGUCCUCUCAUCGUCUAUGUACGGCUGGCAUGUAGACAAGCCCCUGGAGGCUCCCUACAAGAAGAAUGCACGCGUGCAGAUGGUGAACAAGGGGUUCUUCCGAUCCCGAGGGACCUGUAUCCCACUGGAGACAGAAAUGGGAGAAUUGAAUGAAAAAUGCAAACCUUAAUAAAAGAUGCAAAAUGAAACUUUAUGCACUGUAGGAUAUAUAUGCCAAACGCAUACACACACUCGUAUACAAUUGCACCCGGAAAGACAGGAUCUGGACAGAGAUCAGCUAGAGAGCUAGCCAGUGGCGGUUCUAGACCAUUUCAACUGGGGCGGGGGGCAAGCUGGGGCCAGUUGUACUGUUAGAGGGGCCAGUUACAUUAGACGUUAUUGUUGUCAUAGCGUUUUCUUCACUGCAUUGCAGGCAUUAGCAGGCAAAAGACCAU